This 429-nucleotide ribosomal RNA is filed under the name uncultured bacterium. RNAcentral describes it as "bacterial SSU rRNA". It matches the Rfam family "Bacterial small subunit ribosomal RNA", at positions 355 to 775 of the family's 1533-position model. The record is from RNAcentral.
CGGGGAAUAUUGGGCAAUGGGCGAAAGCCUGACCCAGCGACGCCGCGUGGGUGAUGAAGGCCUUCGGGUUGUAAAACCCUUUCGUGCGGAAAGAAUAGUCCUGUAGCGAAUAACUACGGGAUUUGACGGUACCGCAGGAAGAAGCACCGGCUAACUCCGUGCCAGCAGCCGCGGUAAUACGGAGGGUGCAAGCGUUGUUCGGAAUUAUUGGGCGUAAAGGGCGUGUAGGUGGUUGUGAUAGUCAGAUGUGAAAUCCUUCGGCUCGACCGAAGAACUGCAUCUGGAACUUCAUAGCUCGAGUACAGGAGAGGGAAACGGAAUUCCCGGUGUAGAGGUGAAAUUCGUAGAUAUCGGGAGGAACACCAGUGGCGAAGGCGGUUUCCUGGCCUGGUACUGACGCUGAGGCGCGAAAGCGUGGGGAGCAAACAG